AAAGCUCAAAUUUGAAAUCUAGCACCUUCGGUGUUCGAGUUGUAAUUUGAAGAUGGUAACCUUGGGUUUGGCUCUUGUCUAUGUUCCUUGGAACAGGACGUCAUAGAGGGUGAGAAUCCCGUCUGAUGAGAUGCCCAUUCCUAUGUAAGGUGCUAUCGAAGAGUCGAGUUGUUUGGGAAUGCAGCUCUAAGUGGGUGGUAAAUUCCAUCUAAAGCUAAAUAUUGGCGAGAGACCGAUAGCGAACAAGUACAGUGAUGGAAAGAUGAAAAGAACUUUGAAAAGAGAGUGAAAAAGUACGUGAAAUUGUUGAAAGGGAAGGGCAUUAGAUCAGACUUGGUGUUUUACGAUUAUCUUCUCUUCUUGAGUUGUGCACUCGUAUUUCACUGGGCCAGCAUCGAUUCGGAUGGCAAGAUAAUGGCAGUUGAAUGUGGCUUCACUUCGGUGGAGUGUUAUAGCUUCUGCUGAUAUUGCCUGUCUGGAUCGAGGGC
Molecule: ribosomal RNA, 488 nt
Filed under: Hansenula anomala
Lineage: Eukaryota; Fungi; Ascomycota; Saccharomycetes; Phaffomycetales; Wickerhamomycetaceae
Description: eukaryotic LSU rRNA
Rfam family: Eukaryotic large subunit ribosomal RNA
Source: RNAcentral